GGUAGAGUUCUUUAUAACAGGGGCAAAGUGGUUGUGAUUAGUUUCAGUAGAAUUAACAUCUUAAUGAGGCAGCAACAACAACUAAUACCAACAUCAUUAUCAUGACAACCAAUAUCAUAACAAAUAGUUAAUAGUCUGGUGAUCCUGGAAUCAUCUUUCUGUGAGGACAUGGUAACAUAACCUCAUUAACAAGUAUAAUUCUAUAUUCAUCAAGGAAAUAAGUCUGCACAUGUUCUCCCUCUCUCUCUUCAUAUGUACAACAUAGAGCUAAAUCCUUAUUGAUAUUCUCAGAUCAGAGAUGGCUCAGGGCAACAUGGUAACAACAUAAAACCAAUACCCUAUUGGCCUUCUUAGAACAGAGAUGACCUGAGGCUGCAAAGCAAUUAAAACCCAGAUCUUCUUGAGCAGAACUGAAUUGACAUGGGCCUACACAGUAACAAUUAUACCCUAUAGGUCUUCUCAGAUCAGAGCUGACUUGGGGGUUGAGAAUCUUGUGGCAACUUCACAUAAAUAACUGCCAAAACUAUAUUCCAAAAACUAAGCUCUCUCUUCAGGGCCACCAGAAAAUACUCUAGCCCUGACCUUUUACAGAGCUCAAGUAAGCCACAUUGCUCACCUAUAUAAGACCUCAUUAGAAUAAUACUCACAUAGUACAUAUAUAUAUGUGUGUGGGUGUGAACUAAUAUCAAUCGGUGAGAAUGAAAGCUCAACAUUGCAUUGGUGGAUAAAUAUUGUUUAUUUGUGGAUAAAAAAGGAAACCAUUGGUUUCGUGCAAAAAAGAUCUCUAGAAUUAUUCAAGCAACUGAUUUGAGAAUUCAAAAUGGAGACAAGUAUCAUUAUUUCCAAGUGGAUCGCUUGAACAACUUUUUUGCUGCAUGAACCUGGUUGCUUUGUUGAGCCAGUGUGUGUAUAUAUAUAUAUAUAUAAGCUACACUGGAAUACUGCUCACAAAGAUGAGACCACUAUAGAGUACUUCUGACGUAUAUGCAAUGGUGACGCUGCAGUUAUACAUAUAUCCUACAACCUAUUGAGGGACUACCCAAAUAUCUAUAAAGGUGAUCUGGUACACACAAACACACACAUAAAUACACAUAACCUAAACCAAAGUGGAGUACUGCACACACAUACACACACACUGUUGUGACAGUGAUGCUGCAACACAUGCACAUAUAUACACAAAUUCUAAACUAUAUUGGAACAUUCAUCAUAUAGUUGGGAUGAUGAUUAUACACAUACACUUAGACAUGUAGAUACACAUUGAGGUACUGCUCACCUAUUUGCAACAGCAAUACUUUUUGCUAAGCAUAUACACAGAUGCACACACACACACAAUCUCGCAUACACAUACUCUAUACUCACAUUAGAAUACUGUUCAUAUAUUUGUAAUUCUGCCUGUAUCACAUGCACAUACACACAUCUCCAAAUGACUGAAAGAAGGUUAGUUGACCGAUGACCAAAGAUUCCUUGACCAACGCUUCUUGCGAAAUGAGUAACAUCUCUGGUCAUUUAAUAACACCCCCAAUCACUGACCAAUACAUCUCACUACUGACCAACAAAUCUAGAAUUCUCUGCCUGUUCAGGAGUUUUCUGCAGAUAUUCAGCAUCCAAAUGGUCAUACUGAACUUCAGCAGUCUUUGCUGCUGUGAUGCUGGUCUGAGAGAAAGGUCAAUAAAGGCCAAGAGGUGGGGUGGAGGUGGAGUGUAUUGUUGUUUAUCUUUUGACCAACUUAUAGAAAUAAAAGUAUCAGAACAUACAGCAAAGGACACUGCCAUCUCUGACACAUCCACCACCACCAUCACCGCAAACAACUGUAACAAAACAAUUAAUGGAGUAAAUAGCACGAUUGCUAGAAAUAGUAGUCAAAUCUCCCUGGAAUCAUAACAUGACAUUUUAAAAAGAUAACAAUGGAUACUGCUAGGUCCCUAGUACACAGACAAAAAUAAGGGAUGAUCAGGCUGCAGUGCCUUUGAUCAUAGGUCUACUUUAUCAAGGUUUAUGUAGGGCUAAAAUCGACAAGAAUAACAAUGCCAUCACUAACAACAACAACACUACUAAUAACACCAUCACAAACACUAUUACCAACAUCACCCAGGGAGGCUUUAUGUAGUUGCUUGAACUGCUAGAAAUAGCAAUAAAAUCUCACUCAAAUCACACUGUACAAUCAUCAGAAAGGGAAGGCUACAGUAAAAGUGAUAAUGUAGUCCUAGAUUACCUUUGUGGUGAGGGGUGGGGGGAUGGUCCUGGCCAGAACAUAUUUGACUAUUGGUUUGCUAAGUUAGGGUUGACCUGGGGUUAAACAACAACAUUAGCCAUUAAUAUAACAGACAUCGACAAUGCAAAUAGCACAUGAAGUGAUUAGAGAGACACAAUGGUGUUGUACGGCCUGCUAGAAAUUGCAGCCAAAUCACUUUCACAUCGCAUACUACAGGCUUUAAAACUUGAAAGGACAGGUUGGUCAUAGCUGAGUGCAUUUGAUCAUAUGUCUGCUCAUCUAGGUGAGACCUGUGGUUAAACAACUACAUCACAUCCUCUAUAUUUCCACUAUUAUCUCCUUUAUCAAAUACUAAAUCAGUACAACUAGUGGCUAUGUUCAUGGCAGAUUGGCAGAAUCGCUAGAGCACUGGACAAAAUACCCUACUGUUCUAUCUCUUUACAUUUGGAGUUCAAAUCCUGCUGAAGUCAUUUUGAUUAUUUUCAUACUUCUUCCAGCAGGUUGGCAAAAUUAAAUACUGGAUGAGGGUUGUAUACUGGAUGAAGAUGCAUGGCUUUUGUGGUUAAGGGGUUGCACUCAUGAUUACAAGAUUGAAGUUUUGAUUCAUGGACUGUGCAGUGCAUUUGUGUUCAUUUCAUGUAGCUCCAGUCAAUUCAGGUGUGAAAGUGAGAAUCCCUGCGACAGACUGGUGUUCUGUUCAGGAGAGUUUGUUGUUAUCUUGGACACCAUGAGUCCUACGAGUCCCAGAACUAAAGAAACAGUGAUAUCCAGGAGUUGAUAAUGAUGACAACUGGAGAUCGAUUUAGUUAACUGUUGAUCUGUGCCAACAUGCAGUGGACUCGCAUGAUACAGGACAGCUCGAAUCUCUGUCCAACCACGCAACCCUGGUGACAGAUAAAGUGACAUUCCUACUUGAAUUACAAUGCCAUCACAUCAAUAUAAUCUGCCAAUAUAACGCCAUAUAUUACUGCCAACACAUCACACAUACAUCCUAUCAUUCUCUCUCACUCUGUCACAGGCACACACACACACUUUUCUGUUCAAAAGCUGAUGCAUUAAAAGGGAUAAUGAAAAAGAAAAAGAUAAACAGUUGCUAAGUUUUCUUAACAUUAGGAUGAUUGGUUGCUAGGUAGGUAGGUUGGUUGGUAGGAGUGAUACAGUUUUUGUUUGAUCAGCUGGUCGCUUUGGAAAGUGUAGCUGGUUGGUGAUGGUUGACAAUACAGCUGUAUAGUAUGGCUGGCUAGUUCGAAAGAAUUAUAGUUAUUAUUAUGUAAGGCAGCUAACUGAUAGAACCAUUAGCAUGUUGGGAAAAUGUCUUGUGGUAUUUAUUCAGGCUCUGUUCAUUCUAAGCUGAAAUCCCACUGAGGUUAACAUUACCCUACAUUUUCUAAAGGUUGUUAAAGUACCAGUUUAGCACUAGGGCUGAUGGUAUUGACUACUUACCUCACCUUAAAACUACUGCCUUAUACCUAAAUUAGGAACCAUUACUAUUAUUAGUAUUAAGGUAGCCAGCUAGUAGAAUCAUUAGCACUCUGGACAAAAUUCUUUGUGGCAUUUCAUCUGUCUUUACGUUUUGAGUUCAAAUUCCACUGAGGUCAACUUUGCUUUUCAUCCUUUUGAGGUCAAUAAAAUAAGUACCAGUUGAACACUGGGGUUGAUAUAACUGAGCUGCUCCAUCCCCCUAAAAUUGAUGGCCCCGUACCUUUAUUAAGUUUAUUAUUAUUAUCAUUCUGCCAGGGUCAACUUUGCCAUUCAUCCUUUUCAGGGUUGAUAAAAUAAGUACCAGUUGGACAUUAGGGUUGAUUUAAUCGACUCUGCCUCUACUCCAAACCUUCUGGCCUUGUGCUAAAAUUUGAAACCAUUAUUAUUAUUAUUAUUUUAUGGUUUAAAGGAAGAGUGAACAACACCCAUGACUUCUGCUGGAGUUCUGAGACUGGCGGCGGUGGGGUGGAACUCUCAGAAGAAACCACAACAAAUGGUUUGAUGUUAAACCUACCACUGGUCUUAUCUCUGUAUGUAGUCCUUGAGUGCAGGACCUUGAUGAAAGUGGGCUUCUCCAAAAUCCUGCAACUGCUGAGCCAUGAAUCAUAAACUGGGGAAUGAAGAGGGCAUGAGGUUUAAGUGACAGUAAAUAGGGCAGCCUCCUGAGGCAAUAAUCUUGGGGGCCAGACCCCUCACAUAGUUGUAUGUUAUGUAUGGGGUUCGCAUGGUAUGUAUGGUUGAACAACAAAGUUGGGUGGUAUGAAUCUAGCUUGGUUUUGCAAUGGUUGGCUGAUUAAGAUGGUAUGACUCACCAGUUUAUGACAAUAAUUUCAGGGUGUGGCUAUUUAGACAAGUACCACCUGCAACACAAGACGUUAAACUUGCAGUGAAGGGAAAUCUAUGUCUCGGGUUCAAUUUCUGAUGGAAGCGUUAUUCUUCUUUUUACUAUUGUUGGUCAAAAUUACUGUUUCUAGAAAUGCAUGAAUACCAUAGGAUCUCAUUUACCAAAAGUUUUGUGCUUGCAUAGAUAAGAAAUCCUUUUGUUUAUUGUAAUUUUUAUUUUCAGAAAAUUUUGAUGUUUUUCUUUUGCUUUAUUUUAUUUGUUAUUUUCCAUUCUCCCUUUCAUUUACAAUUUUACUUUUUUCCAUUGCUUUUUACAUUAUUAUUAUUAUUAUUUUAAUUAUUAUUAUUAUUAUUAUCAUCAUCAUCAUCAUUAUCAUUAUUAUUAUUUGGGCACUGACUUGGCAGAAUUAUUUAAAUGUCUGACAAAAUACUGUUUAGUAUUUCUUUCGGCACUUCAUGUUCCGGGUUCAAUCCAGCUUUGUUCAACUUUGUCUUUCAUCCAACCAAGGUUGACAUAUUAAAGUACCAGUCAAGUACUAUAGUCAGUGAUACUGACUAAUACUUUCUCCUUCAAAUUGCUGGUCUUGAGUCAAAAUUUUCAACCUUUAUUAUUAUUAUUAUUAUUAUUAUUAUUAUUAUUGCUAUUAUUAAGGCAGUAAGCUGGCAGAGUCAUUAGUACGCCAGACAAAAUGCUUCAAGGAAUUUCUUCUGGAUUUAUGCUCUGAGUUCAAAUUCUACUGAUGUUGACUUUGUCUUUCAUCCCUUUCGGAGUUGAUAAAAUAAGUACUAGUUAAGCUCUGCAGGUUGAUGUAAUUGACUAGACCUCUCCCCACAAAACUUCAGACCUUGUGCCUGUAGUAGAUAGGAUUAUUAUUAUUAUUAUUAAUGCAGUCAUUUGGUAGAAUUAGUAUAGUAUAGGACAAGAUGUCUUGCAGUAUUUAAUCAUGGGCCCUUAAUGUUCAGAGUUCAAAUUCCAUCUAGUUCAACUUUUAUCAUGUUUCAUCCUUCUGAGAGUUGAUAACAAUAAAACCCCACCAAGUACUGGGGUCAAGGUAAUUGACAAACCCCUUUCCCUGAAUUUGUGUAAACAAUUAUCAUCAUUAUUUGUGUGUGUGUUUACGUAUGACAAACAUAUAUAUGUGAAACUUCAAUUUCGUUUGUUUGUAUGUUUGUCAGCUAUUGCUGUGUCUCCAUAAAAGUAUUGGUUACAGGUUCAAUUCUGACAUCAGCUGCUGUGCCAUCAAACAUCAUAAAUGUCUUACAAUUCCAUUUUUUUAAACAUUUUUCUCAAUACGUAUGUGCAUUUGUAUUUAUAUAUGUGUAUGUGAGAAGGUGAAUGUGUUCAUGUGUGCAUAUCUGUGGAUAUGUAAGACUGUAUAUGUCAAUGUAUUUGUGCAUGCUUGUGUGUAUGAAUGUGUGCAUGUCUAUGUAUGUGUGUGCGUGAAACAAGGGCAAAGCAGUAAAAAAAAAAGGUGAAAAGGACGAAGAGCAAUAGUUCUUCAUGCAGUCUCCUGCCAAUACCACCACAGCUACUCUCAAAACCUCCACAACACAUCACACCCCUCUUCUUGGAUUUGGAAGUUUACACACACACAUACACGUAUAUAAGUACUGCUGUAAUAACAACUACGACAACAGCAGCAAUGGGACAUUAGAGAGAACAUGAAGACUAGCAGUGUUAUAUUACCAACAGUGACAGCUGAGUAAUAGUAGCAUCAAACAACAGCAGCAACAAUAAUGACAACAGCAGCAGUGGCAGCAGUAAUGGUGACGACAACAACAGAAGCAACAGCAGCAGCAGCAACAACAGCAGCAGCAGCAACAAUAGCAGUACAACAACAGUAGGAGCAGUUGUGACAAAAACAGCAACAGUGACAAUAAGAACAAGUAAAAAAAAAAAUCUGGAGUAACAACAACAAGAGCAAUCGCUGCAACAUGGCAAACAGCAACAACAACGACAACAACAACGACGGCCAUAGCAACGGGAACAGUAGAAACUGCUGCAACAAAAGCAACAGCAUAAACAUCAACAACCACAAUAAAAGUAACAACAACAAUAACCAAGUACAACAACAAUGACAGGAAUAAAGAAAAAAAGAAAAAGAAAAGCAAGCAAAUGAUUAAUGCUACAAUGCAGAUCUUUUCCUUGUGCUGUUAUGUUUUGGAGGCUAGACUUUGAUUUUAAUAGGGUUUUAUUUAUUAUAACCAAAUACAUAAAUGAAAUUAUUACUCCCAUUAAGGUGGUGAGAAGGCAGAAUGGUUAGCACACUGGGCAAAAUGCUUAGUGGUAUUUUGUCCAUCCUUAUGUUUUGAGUUCAAUUUCCAUCAAGGUUGACUUUGCCUCUCACGCUUUCGGGGUCAAUAAAAAAAAAAGUACCUGUUGAGUACUAGCAUCAAAGUAAUUGACUAUCCCCCUCCCCUAAAAAUUUCUGGCCUUCUACCUAUUAUUAUUAUUAUUAUAAUAAUAAUAAUAAUAAUAAUAAUAAUAAUAAUAAUAAUAAUAAUCAUUAUUAUGAAGGCUGUGAAUUGGCAGAACUGUUAGCAUGCUGGGCAAAAUGACACUAAGCAUUUUGUUCAUCUGUACGUUCUGAGUUCAAAUUGCCUUUCUUUCUUCCAGGGUCAAAGAAAUAAAUACCAGUUGAGCACUGGGAUUGAUGUAAUUGACUAGUUCCCCCCACCCCUCAAAUUUUAGGCCUUGUGCCUAUAAUAGAAAGGAUUAUUAUUAUUAUUAUUACGAUUUAGGGCAACAAGUGGUGAGAAUCAUUAGAAGAUCUGACAAGAUGCCUUGUGGCAUUUGUUGUAGAUUUUUAUGUUCUGAGUUCAAAUCCUGAGGUUUUAUCUUGGCUAUCAUACUUCUGGACUGAUAAAUAAAGAAUGUGUCAAGAACUGGGGUCAAGUUCAUUGAUGAACUUUCCCAAAAUUUUUGGCGUUGUGACCAUGCAAGAAGCAAAUACUACUUUUAUUAUUAUUAUUAUUAUUAUAAUUAUUAUGAAUGUAGCUACAAAGGCAGUGAGCUGGCAGAAUUUUUAGAGCAUCAGAAAAAGUGCUUUGUAGUAUUUCUUGUGACUCAUUACUUUCUGAGUUCAAGUUUCGCCAAGGUGGACUUUGCUUUUCCUCUUUCAGAGUUGAAAAAAAGAAGUACCAGUUAAGUACUGGGAUUGAUGCAAUCAAUUUCUCCCCUCCAAUCAAAAUUGCUGGCCUUGUAACAAAAUUACAAAGAAUUAUGACUGUAGUACUGUGGAAAAAAAAAUCUGUUUUGCGACCUAAAAAAGUUUUUUUAUUUUUCACAAUUCCUAAUUUGUUUAAAUACUGGUGUUAUUGUUGUUGCUGUUGUUGUAUUUUGGCAUCGUUUCCGAUGAUAAAAAAUGCACAAAUUAUUAAAAUACAAAAAUGAAAAAAAAAAAAAAAAAUCAAAGAAAAUAUGUAUGUUGCCAAAAACAAACUGAAUAUAAUAAAAGGAGUAAGGGAGAGCGCUUAG
RNAcentral lists this long non-coding RNA (8015 nucleotides) under Octopus vulgaris (common octopus). The record is from RNAcentral. Lineage: Eukaryota; Metazoa; Mollusca; Cephalopoda; Octopoda; Octopodidae.